Cucurbita maxima (winter squash) is the source of this 1762-nucleotide long non-coding RNA. RefSeq lists it as uncharacterized. The record is from RefSeq and is a predicted model, not a curated record. The transcript has 4 exons. Lineage: Eukaryota; Viridiplantae; Streptophyta; Magnoliopsida; Cucurbitales; Cucurbitaceae.
GGAAGUAAGGGCACAAAGUGAAGUUUGAUGUACCAGUUUCCCGCUUCUUCGACUUUCCCUCCCGUAAUUGGCAAGGCAGUCAUUCUUCAGUCUCGGAGCACGAUCUUCUCUGUCAAACGAUUUUCCGCUCCACAAUCUGAAACUGAAUUGGAAACGAUUUACAAUCGCUUCAAUCUGCAAGCUAUGUACCACAGGCGUCUCUGAAAGUGGACAACACUGCGUCAGAUUCUGCAGUUGCUCUCGAGUUAUCUGGUUUUUGCCUGCGUGAGAACUCUGUGAAGGAUUUCUGAAGUCUUUCAGAGUUGAGGGCGUUGCAGGAGGAGGAACUGCUUAUAGAUGUAACAAUGGAAGCUUAAAUACAGCAGAGCUAGUAGAUGUGUGGUACAUACCAAGCACAGAAAACGUUGGACCUCAGGAAAUGCCUAGGCGUUUAGAACCUGUAAGUACGAAAUAAUAUAUAAUUUGCAGCUUGUUGGUUAAUGAACGAGCUUAAUUCACGGAAUAAUGUCUUAAUUAGUCUAACUAAUAAAACAGGAACUAGUAAUCGAACUUGAUGCGGAGAAACCAGGAAUAUCCUUUUUGCUUACAUAUUGUCAAAUGAUUGUACCUGACAAUUGAUAUGUUCUUUGGAAUUUUCUUUCUUAAUGACUUUUGUUUACAUCAUUCAUGGAAUUGCAAGACCUACCUCAUCUUUGCAGAUAAAUUUUUGGCAGCUAGAAAUGAGAAAGUGUUCAAAUUGCUAUGCGCCCAAAAUUAUCUUGGGGAGGUUCUGGCGUGGCUGGAAUUUUGCAGGCUUUUUCUGGUGAUCUAUGCUCCACAUCUGGUGAUCGGUUAGUGUCACUAGACAAACAAAGUUUCAUAUGUUGUUCCCCUGAUAAACAUGCAGGUGUGGUUGUGUGCAGGCUAGUUGUUGGACAAUCAUUGAGCCAUUGAAUAUGGAACAUUAUGAUUCUGUUCGCAGUAUGUCUAGUGAGAUUCGUGCUUAUGCUCCAGAUACUCGUGUAUUGACAACAUACUACUCUGAUAAACUUCCAUCACCAUGUGGGAUGUUUUUGUCACGGCUGAGCCUGGAGAGUAGUGGUCCUGGGCCUCCUGACCUGGUUAGAAAUAGGUAGAUUUUCAUUUAUUCUACAUGUCAUGCAGUGUCGUUAGCUGUUCAUAGCUACCAUCUACCUCAUCUGUUGCCAAUUAACUGGCUUAAAAUGAUUAAUAUUUUACAUUUCAUAAAGCAUAUAAAACUCUAAAAAAAGUUUUUUUUUUAAAUAAAAAAAAAGAACAAUGUAGUCAAUAAUAAUAAUUGAUCAGCCUCCCUCUCAUAGACAAAACUCUCUCAGCUCUUGGUAACAUAAUUGACCUUUACAUGAAUAGGCUUAGACUCUGUAAAAUGCAUUAUAUGAACAACAUAAGGACAAAUGAGAAGAAAAAAAAGAAGGUAAAGAGCAUGGAAAGAUGAAAGCUUUUUUAGUUGGAAGUUAUGGCUAUCUUUCUCAGUCCCACAAGCCAUCAAAGAUAUCUAAUUGACAAAUCAAAUAGGUGAUGAUUACUUGUGCAUCUUUUGCUCUUCUUGCCUUUUGAAAUUGUGCUACUCAUCCCCUACAGCUGUUUAUUUUUGUGUAGUCAAUGUUGAGCUAGGCCCCAUUAGAAUUUAGAGCCUCAAAAUGUGAACUUCUUUAGUUUUAAAUUUCAUGUGUUUUUUUCUUCUUCUUUCUUUCUCUCAAGCACUUUUUCUAUUAGUGUAUUUGAAACCAGUUCUUUCUGAUGU